UGGGGAAUAUUGCGCAAUGGGGGGAACCCUGACGCAGCAACGCCGCGUGCAGGAAGAAGGUCUUCGGAUUGUAAACUGUUGUCGCAAGGGAAGAAGACAGUGACGGUACCUUGUGAGAAAGUCACGGCUAACUACGUGCCAGCAGCCGCGGUAAUACGUAGGUGACAAGCGUUGUCCGGAUUUACUGGGUGUAAAGGGCGCGUAGGCGGACUGUCAAGUCAGUCGUGAAAUACCGGGGCUUAACCCCGGGGCUGCGAUUGAAACUGACAGCCUUGAGUAUCGGAGAGGAAAGCGGAAUUCCUAGUGUAGCGGUGAAAUGCGUAGAUAUUAGGAGGAACACCAGUGGCGAAGGCGGCUUUCUGGACGACAACUGACGCUGAGGCGCGAAAAGUGUGGGGAAGCAAACAGGAUUAGAUACCC
RNAcentral lists this ribosomal RNA (420 nucleotides) under uncultured bacterium. RNAcentral describes it as "bacterial SSU rRNA". It matches the Rfam family "Bacterial small subunit ribosomal RNA", at positions 355 to 787 of the family's 1533-position model. The record is from RNAcentral.